This 427-nucleotide ribosomal RNA is filed under the name uncultured bacterium. Its description in RNAcentral is "bacterial SSU rRNA". It matches the Rfam family "Bacterial small subunit ribosomal RNA", at positions 355 to 774 of the family's 1533-position model. The record is from RNAcentral.
UAGGGAAUAUUGGACAAUGGGGGCGACCCUGAUCCAGCCAUGCCGCGUGAGUGAAGAAGGCCCUCGGGUUGUAAAGCUCUUUUGUCCGGAAAGAAAAGCUUCGGGUUAAUACCCCGGGGUUCUGACGGUACCGGAAGAAUAAGCACCGGCUAACUUCGUGCCAGCAGCCGCGGUAAUACGAAGGGUGCAAGCGUUACUCGGAAUUACUGGGCGUAAAGCGUGCGUAGGUGGUUGUUUAAGUCUGAUGUGAAAGCCCUGGGCUCAACCUGGGAAUGGCAUUGGAAACUGGGCAGCUAGAGUGCGGUAGAGGGUAGUGGAAUUCCCGGUAUAGCAGUGAAAUGCGUAGAGAUCGGGAGGAACAUCUGUGGCGAAGGCGACUGCCUGGACCAGCACUGACACUGAGGCACGAAAGCGUGGGGAGCAAACA